This 490-nucleotide ribosomal RNA is filed under the name uncultured bacterium. Its description in RNAcentral is "partial 16S ribosomal RNA". It matches the Rfam family "Bacterial small subunit ribosomal RNA", at positions 30 to 507 of the family's 1533-position model. The record is from RNAcentral.
AUUGAACGCUGGCGGCAGGCCUAACACAUGCAAGUCGAACGGUAACAGGAAGACGCUUGCUUCUUUGCUUACGAGUGUCGGACGUGUGAGGAAUGUCGGUGAAACUGCCUGAUGGAGGGGGAUAACUACUGGAAACGGUAGCUAAUACCGCAUAACGUCGACAGCACAAAGAGAGGGAACUUCGGGCCUCUUGCCAUCGGAUGUGCCCAGAUGGGAUUAGCUAGUAGGUGGGGUAACGGCUCACCUAGGCGACGACCCCUAGCUGGUCUGAGAGGAUGACCAGCCACACUGGAACUGAGACACGGUCCAGACUCCUACGGGAGGCAGCAGUGGGGAAUAUUGCACAAUGGGCGAAAGCCUGAUGCAGCCAUGCCGCGUGUAUGAAGAAGGCCUUCGGGUUGUAAAGUACUUUCAGCGGGGAGGAAGGGAGUAAAGUUAAUACCUUUGCUCAUUGACGUUACCCGCAGAAGAAGCACCGGCUAACUCCGUG